AGGUUGUCGCGGCUCAGAAGCCACCCCUCACGGUUCCCCCACCCGGUCCUGCGGCCCCCAGGGCAGCUCCAGCGAGGAGAUAUGGGUGCUGCGCAAGCCUGGGCCAGGUGGAGACCGAAGUAGCGUGGGGAGUUCUGGCAGUGUGACCAGUGUGAGGUCAUCAGGGAGUGGUCAGAGUGCCGGGAGCUCCACCCACAUUCUCCACGCGCAGGCCGAGGGGGUUAAGCUCCUGGCUACAGUGCUGUCUCAGUCUGCCAAAGCCAAAGAGCACCUGCUGGAGCAGUCCAAGUCUGUAGAGCUAUCUACAGG
Oncorhynchus gorbuscha (pink salmon) is the source of this 309-nucleotide long non-coding RNA. RefSeq lists it as uncharacterized. NCBI's taxonomy places the organism in Eukaryota, Metazoa, Chordata, Actinopteri, Salmoniformes, Salmonidae. The transcript is spliced from 3 exons. The record is from RefSeq and is a predicted model, not a curated record.